ACACUCUUGAUUCUCUUCAGAUCGUAUAAAUCUUUCGCCUUUUACUAAAGAUUUCCGUGGAGAGGAUCAAUAAGAGUUUCAAAUAAUUUUUUGAUGCCCUGCGAAAGUGGGGCU
Molecule: small nuclear RNA, 114 nt
Filed under: Sparus aurata (gilthead seabream)
Lineage: Eukaryota; Metazoa; Chordata; Actinopteri; Spariformes; Sparidae
Description: U5 spliceosomal RNA (ENSSAUG00010010003.1)
Rfam family: U5 spliceosomal RNA
About the family: U5 RNA is a component of both types of known spliceosome. The precise function of this molecule is unknown, though it is known that the 5' loop is required for splice site selection and p220 binding, and that both the 3' stem-loop and the Sm site are important for Sm protein binding and cap methylation.
Source: Rfam by way of RNAcentral